RNAcentral lists this ribosomal RNA (440 nucleotides) under uncultured bacterium. Its description in RNAcentral is "partial 16S ribosomal RNA". It matches the Rfam family "Bacterial small subunit ribosomal RNA", at positions 338 to 795 of the family's 1533-position model. The record is from RNAcentral.
CCUACGGGAGGCAGCAGUGGGGAAUAUUGCACAAUGGGGGGAACCCUGAUCCAGCGACGCCGCGUGAGUGAAGAAGUAAUUCGUUAUGUAAAGCUCUAUCAGCCGGGAAGAAAAUGACGGUACCUGAGUCAGAAGCACCGGCUAACUACGUGCCAGCAGCCGCGGUAAUACGCAGGGGGCAAGCGUUAUCCGGAUUUACUGGGUGUAAAGGGAGCGUAGACGGCAGUGCAAGUCUGGAGUGAAAGGCGGGGGCUCAACCCCCGGACUGCUCUGGAAACUGUACGGCUGGAGUGCAGGAGAGGUAAGUGGAAUUCCUGGUGUAGCGGUGAAAUGCGUAGAUAUUAGGAGGAACACCAGUGGCGAAGGCGGCUUACUGGACUGUAACUGACGUUGAGGCUCGAAAGCGUGGGGAGCAAACAGGAUUAGAUACCCUUGUAGUC